UAAAAGGUCUUGGGAAACAUUCAACGCUGUCGGUGAGUUUUGUCAAUGAAGUCAAACCAUCGACUGUUGAGUGUACCCUGCGGCUUUUACAAA
This is a microRNA precursor of Anolis carolinensis (green anole), 93 nucleotides long. Ensembl annotates it as aca-mir-181a-3. Its record names the gene aca-mir-181a-3. The record is from Ensembl. Lineage: Eukaryota; Metazoa; Chordata; Lepidosauria; Squamata; Anolidae.